This 492-nucleotide ribosomal RNA is filed under the name uncultured bacterium. RNAcentral's name for it is "partial 16S ribosomal RNA". It matches the Rfam family "Bacterial small subunit ribosomal RNA", at positions 29 to 507 of the family's 1533-position model. The record is from RNAcentral.
AGUGAACGCUGGCGGUAGGCUUAACACAUGCAAGUCGAACGGCAGCACAGUAAGAGCUUGCUCUUACGGGUGGCGAGUGGCGGACGGGUGAGGAAUACAUCGGACUCUACUUUUUCGUGGGGGUUAACGUAGGGAAACUUACGCUCAUACCGCAUACGACCUACGGGUGAAAGCAGGGGAUCUUCGGACCUUGCGCGAUUGAAUGAGCCGAUGUCGGAUUAGCUAGUUGGCGGGGUAAAGGCCCACCAAGGCGACGAUCCGUAGCUGGUGUGAGAGGAUGAUCAGCCACACUGGAACUGAGACACGGUCAAGGCUCCUACGGGAGGCAGCAGUGGGGAAUAUUGGACAAUGGGGGCAAACCUGAUCCAGCCAUACCGCGUGGGUGAAGAAGGCCUUCGGGUUGUAAAGCCCUUUUGUUGGGAAAGAAAAGCAGCAGGUUAAUACCCCGCUGUUCUGACGGUACCCAAAGAAUAAGCACCGGCUAACUUCGUG